CAUAGAUGAGCUCAACCAUCUUCCAUCUUCUAGGGGAAACAUGCACUUCCUUGUAACUGGCUAGGCUUGAGAAGACACACAAAGAACUUUAGGAUUUCAUUUUUCCUAAUGUAGGCUGUCUAUCAGAGAAAUGGGAACUUAUUUUUCCGGACAACUAUCCAAAAAGCAACAGCAAUGGAGCAGAAAGAACUUGAUUCAGCCAAGGCAACACUGAA
This is a long non-coding RNA of Neltuma alba, 215 nucleotides long. RefSeq lists it as uncharacterized. The record is from RefSeq and is a predicted model, not a curated record. Lineage: Eukaryota; Viridiplantae; Streptophyta; Magnoliopsida; Fabales; Fabaceae. The transcript has 3 exons.